UGGGCCAGCUGCACGUUGGGGCCCAGGGAGACAAGGUCGCAGGUGCACAGGGGCCGGGCCGCUCUGAGUGGCAGCGCGCCCAGGUGGCGCCCCUGAAAAGCGCUGGGGGGCUGCCCAGGGCUAAGCAGAAAGCAGCGUGGUGGAGAUCGUCCGCGAGGCUGCUGGACAUGGCCAGGGGUGCCGCAAAGGCAGCAGGAGGGGCCGGGACAGGCUGGCUGAGCAAUGGCCGCAGCAGCAGCAAGACGGUCCCCGAAGCCCUGUGCCGGGAACCUUGUGGGGCAGAGGGGCACAGCACCCCCUGCCUGGCUGCCUGCACCCUGAGGAGGCCCCCGCGCACAAGAAAACCAGCAGCAAGAGCAGCCCAAAGCAAACCCCGCUCCGGCCAGCAAAAUGUGGAGAAAGCAAGCUGAGGAUGGUGUGCAGGAGCUCCAUCACCACUCCCUGCAGCCUGGACCUCCCAGACUCAAGAUAAUCUUACUGCAGCAGCCUCCAGAGCAAUUGGGACUAGAGGUUCUCAUCCCUCCUUGGCCUCCCAAAGUGCUGGGACUACAGCUUCUGGAAGGAGCACCACUAGGUUGUGUAUAGCACCAGUGCCCCAGCAUGACCUUGGCUGCCCUGCAAUGGAAGGAACACUCACAAGCUGCAGGGUGUCUAUGGGAACAUGGUCAUCCUGGUUGGAGCAGCUGGAGAAAUUGGCAGCAGCAGAGGAAGGGCCCCUGGAGUCAGCUGUCAUGGAGGUGGCUGACCAAGCCUGGCACCUGAACGUCCCACUACUUCCUCUAGGCCUGGCUAGACCUGGCUCAGGAACUCGGUGCCCUGUCCACAGCCAAACAAAAAGCUGCUCUCUAGAGGGGUGGCAGCAGUCCAGCACGGUCCAGUGAGACCCCGAAGGUUCCAGGAGACCUUCAGUCCUGAGUCUCUUUCAGUCACUGUCUCCUGACUCGGAGUCUUCUGCGGACUCGGAUACGCUCUCUGGCAAGUCAUCUCCCAUCUGCUGGAACCUUCCCGACUCUGAGUCCCACAUGUAUUUGAUGGUCACCUUGAAUUCAGCCAUCUCAUACCCAAAAAGCUUCUGCAAGAGACAAAGGUGCCAGGCCCCUGAUGUCCCUCAAGGGCUGCAUUCUGGCUGUAAGUUACUGUCUGCUUUUACCCCAACUGUGAGGCGGGCACU
This is a non-coding RNA of Saimiri boliviensis boliviensis (Bolivian squirrel monkey), 1171 nucleotides long. Lineage: Eukaryota; Metazoa; Chordata; Mammalia; Primates; Cebidae. The record is from RefSeq and is a predicted model, not a curated record.